This 571-nucleotide ribosomal RNA is filed under the name Escherichia coli. Its description in RNAcentral is "bacterial SSU rRNA". It matches the Rfam family "Bacterial small subunit ribosomal RNA", at positions 974 to 1533 of the family's 1533-position model. Lineage: Bacteria; Pseudomonadati; Pseudomonadota; Gammaproteobacteria; Enterobacterales; Enterobacteriaceae. The record is from RNAcentral.
CCUGGUCUUGACAUCCACAGAACUUUCCAGAGAUGGAUUGGUGCCUUCGGGAACUGUGAGACAGGUGCUGCAUGGCUGUCGUCAGCUCGUGUUGUGAAAUGUUGGGUUAAGUCCCGCAACGAGCGCAACCCUUAUCCUUUGUUGCCAGCGGUCCGGCCGGGAACUCAAAGGAGACUGCCAGUGAUAAACUGGAGGAAGGUGGGGAUGACGUCAAGUCAUCAUGGCCCUUACGACCAGGGCUACACACGUGCUACAAUGGCGCAUACAAAGAGAAGCGACCUCGCGAGAGCAAGCGGACCUCAUAAAGUGCGUCGUAGUCCGGAUUGGAGUCUGCAACUCGACUCCAUGAAGUCGGAAUCGCUAGUAAUCGUGGAUCAGAAUGCCACGGUGAAUACGUUCCCGGGCCUUGUACACACCGCCCGUCACACCAUGGGAGUGAGUUGCAAAAGAAGUAGGUAGCUUAACCUUCGGGAGGGCGCUUACCACUUUGUGAUUCAUGACUGGGGUGAAGUCGUAACAAGGUAACCGUAGGGGAACCUGCGGUUGGAUCACCUCCUUACCUUAAAGAAGC